Molecule: ribosomal RNA, 496 nt
Filed under: uncultured bacterium
Lineage: Bacteria
Description: partial 16S ribosomal RNA
Rfam family: Bacterial small subunit ribosomal RNA
Source: RNAcentral
AUGAACGCUGGCGGCGUGCCUAAUACAUGCAAGUCGAGCGAACGGACGAGAAGCUUGCUUCUCUGAUGUUAGCGGCGGACGGGUGAGUAACACGUGGAUAACCUACCUAUAAGACUGGGAUAACUUCGGGAAACCGGAGCUAAUACCGGAUAAUAUUUUGAACCGCAUGGUUCAAAAGUGAAAGACGGGCUUGCUGUCACUUAUAGAUGGAUCCGCGCUGCAUUAGCUAGUUGGUAAGGUAACGGCUUACCAAGGCAACGAUGCAUAGCCGACCUGAGAGGGUGAUCGGCCACACUGGAACUGAGACACGGUCCAGACUCCUACGGGAGGCAGCAGUAGGGAAUCUUCCGCAAUGGGCGAAAGCCUGACGGAGCAACGCCGCGUGAGUGAUGAAGGUCUUCGGAUCGUAAAACUCUGUUAUUAGGGAAGAACAUAUGUGUAAGUAACUGUGCACAUCUUGACGGUACCUAAUCAGAAAGCCACGGCUAACUACGUG